GCCCAGGUGGCGAAAUCGGCAAACGCACCAGCUUUAGGAGCUGGCGAUCGCAAGAUCAUGUGGGUUCAACUCCCACCCUGGGCACUA
RNAcentral lists this transfer RNA (87 nucleotides) under Patescibacteria group bacterium. Its description in RNAcentral is "tRNA-Leu". It matches the Rfam family "tRNA". From Rfam's summary of the family: Transfer RNA (tRNA) molecules are approximately 80 nucleotides in length. Their secondary structure includes four short double-helical elements and three loops (D, anti-codon, and T loops). The record is from RNAcentral.